CAGAGCCGGGGAGCGGGACCCGGGGGACCCUCCCCUCGACGGGGCUGAGCUAGCGGGAGCGCUGCUGCAAAACCGACAUCCGAAAACCCAACAAAAAACCCCAGCCCCGCAGCCCCCGAAAGGGGAAGAGCUACGUAGGACCUGUAGUAGGAGGCUGGUCCCUUCUGACUUUCAGGAAGAGAGAUUUCAAGAGUUGGAGGCAGAAAUUAAAUAAUUCAGAACUCGGAUUAAAGAACAAAAAGGUCUGUUCACAAAUGGAAUACGAGAUGCAAAAAUGGCAGUUUCCUGCAGGUAUCAAACGUGGAUCUUCACUUGAGACUGUCCCUGAAAGGCACGCAGACGAAAACUUAACCCUUUUCUCUUAGUUACGUUUCCUAAAGAAACGGUGGAAUUAGCGUGGCGUUUCUGCAUCGGUUGGCCACGUGGCUGAAGACGGACCCAUGUCUAGUAACUGAUGGCGAGGGAGUUGCAGUGCGCGGAGAAAACAGAUCCUUGCAAAUGGUGAAUAUUGUGGCGAUAAAUGCAAAUUAAAUCACUGGAGAAAUGUUGCCCUCGAGUUAGAGCUGCUGCGUCUCUUGUUUGGAAGCAGUUGGGUGAUCUGAAUCAGGUUGGUGUGCAGCAGCGUCAAGGUAACCUGCUGCUGCCGGCCCCUUUUGAGUUUGUCGGUUUUUUUGGUGUCAUCAUCACCUCCAUCACAAACCAACCCUCUGCUGGAGAGCAGGAAAACGGGCGGCACGUUCCCGUGGGGAUGGCAUGCAGUUCUCUUUAGGAUCUUGCUUAAUGUUCCUGGGGGUGUGUGUAUGUAUCCGUGUCAGAGGAGGCAGUUUGUCCUGCCGUACCUUUUUGCCCAGCAGUGUCGCAUGAGUAAGUUUAGCUUGAGUCUGGAGUCUAGGUCGAAUCUGCAGGGUGAGUGGAAGAGGUUAUAAUACCAUUUGGGAACUUCACAAACUAUUGAAGAAUUUUGACAGUAAAUGAAAGUCUCAAAAUGUCGUUGUAGCUUUUUAGGACAGGCAGAUGCACGGGUAAAAAGUACUGUUUCUUACUUUGAGCAGAGCGGUGUAACUUGUUACUGUCGAGCUGGGGGAUGAAAAUCUCAAGCCAAAUCUUGCUCACACGUUUCUGUUUUUUUUAAAAUCUCGUCCUGGUAUUGCAUCAUAUGGGAUUAAAGUAAGCAUGGAGUAUUAGUUCUGUGCAUGCUGUGACUAAUCGUUUAAGGUAAACCAUUGAUCUUAAAACAUUACAAAAUUUGUAACAAAAUCUGGAAAAAAUAAGUAGUAACGAGCAGCAUUUGAAUACGGAAGCACUUCUAUUAUUGAAUUAGAAACAGGUGGAGUUGUUGGCAUCUUCUAGUUGGAUCUGAUUGUACCAGAACACCAGUUGAUGUGCUUUAAGUGAGGGAGGUAACAUGCUUCACCAGAAACGAAUUAGCCAUCACAUCUUAGUGUUUAAUUCUGUUUAUCUUUGCAGGUUACUGUAGAACUUGUAGUUUCUGCCUAGAAGUAGGCAGUGCUUUACUAUUUAUCAUGGUAGUUAAAUGUAUAUCAAGAAAAGAGUCUCUAGCUACUCUAAAUAUGUUCCUGCUGCCCCCCACCUGAGCAGAGAUGUGUAGUAAAAGCAGCUCGGUAGUUCUGCAGGAAGAUGCAAUGCGGAGAGCUGAGAGGGAUGUGAAAGCCAGGGCACCGCUGCCAAUAUACUGUGGGAGCCGUGCUUCCCUGCUGCAGGAAGGCUUUGGCUGUUUGUGGUGGCCCUGAACGUCCAACACGCGUGACCUAGAAGGGCCCUUGAUGGGUGGAGAGUUUGGCUUUCACAGGAUUCCUUGAAUCUUGUUCCUUGAGUCCUCCUGUUCCUUGGAAAGAGAUUUCUGAAAACAUUUCUAGCCCUCUUUCUGUAAAUGAAGUAAUGCCCAUCUGAACAUGGCAGAAUUAGUGCGUGUUUCAAUCACUCUACUUUUAUGCCAAGUUUGUGGUUAAUUGGAUAAUGCAUUGAGAAAUGCAGUAGUGAGGAUCUGGAAAAUGGUAAUGGUUGGGGUUUUUUUGAAAAAAGAUUGCACUGCUUGGCUGCAUGUAACAAUACCAAGUAAGUAAUGGGUGAAACGUUUGCUAUAGAAGAAAUUACAUGCAAUCUAAAAUUCCAUGUGAACAAUUACUCUUUAUUUGCAAGCUGAUUUGUAAUGCAAAAAGUGGAUGUAGAAAAAUGCAUAAUCCAGAGUUUCAGUUUGAUCACAUUGAGGCUGAAAAUAAAGGCAGUUUAUUUAUUGGAUAAAGAACAGAUAACAUAUAUAGAUGCUUAGUAUUUUUUAAGUCGCCAGGCAGGCAGCACCCAUGGACUUGUGGCCCUUCUUAUAUAAGCAGGGUAAUAAGUUCCCACCUUUUACAUUCAGGUUUCUCUUGCACGUGUUCUUUACGUUUUACGCUUUGCUUAUCUUUGUGUUUGGCUGUUGCCUAUAUCCUUCAGGGGUGAGGUGUUGAAAAUAUGAUGUUUUCUGCGCAGAGAAUACAGUGAUGGUGUUCCAGCAUUGCAUGAAGGAGUAGGGGGGCAGAUGUGAAGCCGAGGGGGGGAAAGCUGAGACGGGAUCGAUAGCAGAGGGCAGGGAGUCUAGGACAAAGAGAUUUGUACAAGAGUGCUCAAAUGUGAGAUUGUAGGUGUGAUGUUGGAUUUACCAGGAAAGAUAGAGAGAACUGCACGAUCAGAAUAGUUAAUGUUUUUAAAUUAGUAAAGAUAAGGUGAAUCUUACUCCUUUUGUGACAUAUAUGUUCUUAGCCUGGUUGUUUCUGGUUUGACAAGGCAAAGAAGUAAUUUCUGCUUUUAUUGUUAGUUAUAAUGAAGAAGAUACAGUAUAUUACAUUGUUCGGGUUGCAGAGAACGUGGAUAUCCAGACAGAUAGCUGAAUGUUAACAGCAGAAGGGUUUUAUUAAGAUCAGACACGGAGCGUGCAGACGUUGGGUGUGGGUUGGUGGGGUGUAGCAGUGCUCUCCCCCAUUGUCAAGCAGUGCUGGCAUUCCCAGGAAGGCAGUAAGGAAUUUGUUUGAUUGACCGUGGUUCCCUGAUCAUGCUUCUGUUUUGACUCUAGCAAGGUAGAGCAGUUCUUACUACGCUGUUACUUGGUCACUUCUGUGCCUUAGCAUUUAGCUAUGUGCCUUUAGUAUAGCAUGAGUAAAGGCAUUUUUCGCCAGGAGGUUGCUGAAGCCAGGGGAUGGCUCUGCGCAGCCGUAGGGUUGAAGUUGGAGCCUUUCAGACUCACGUUUUAUCUAACAGCUUUUUGCCUUGCUGGCGGUUCGCUCGCUUUCUUGCCUUGUGAUAAUUUAAUGCCUUUUGUUGGCAGUUGGGGUAAUAAGGAAGUUUCUGCCAGGGCUGGAGCCAGGCUGGCGUUUCACAUGGGGGAAGGAGGGGAGCCGGAGCUGGGGUGGUGCUUGACCUGCCCGGGGAGAGCAGAGGUAGAGCUCACCCUUCCUCUGACAAGUUCUGAAGCAGGUGCACAGAAAUGCUUAAGCUGCUGUAUUGAGAUGCCUUUAAACUCCCCUCGUAUCUUUGUGUUCCUGGCUGCGAGGUUUUAGCGGCGUGUAAGGAUGAAGGCCGUGUCUCCGAGGCUUUUUCAGAGGAGUCCAUAACAUUAGAGCUGAGCAGAUCCUGUUGUUCCUAUGUUGUUCCUAUCAUGGGUGUGGAACCGUACCUUUAGUGGGUAGGCAAGCUUGGAGGUGGCAGCAUCUGGCCGUGCCAGGGUGAGAUUUCUGUGAAUAGUGUGGGAAUUUAGGCUAAAGCCUUGGUGAACAGCUGGACGAUGGCCAGCGGGGCCAGAGCCCUGGUUUUGCUGGAUGUAGGGAUGUUGUGUUUGGCCGGUGGUCGGGUGAGCCAUUGCACAUGAGUGUGUAGGUGAGACCAAACAUUAGUGGUCUAACUCCUGCUCGCGUCCUGUAGGAUCCCUUGGGCUAUGGAGACAUGAUGCUGCUGUGCUGCUGCGUUACCGUGUCGCUGUGGGAUUGCUUUUACGGGUUUGGGGGUGCAUGCAUACAGGGCACCUGAAUCUUUUGUGAUGCUUACGUUGUAGCGGUCUCUCCUCGCUGCAAACUGGCGGUUUCUGUCUGAGACUCACAUGUGACAAGCUGUGGGCAGUAACGUUGCGGGGAAGUAAAAUUAAAAAAAAAAAAAAAAA
This is a long non-coding RNA of Falco peregrinus (peregrine falcon), 4150 nucleotides long. RefSeq lists it as uncharacterized. The transcript is spliced from 2 exons. Lineage: Eukaryota; Metazoa; Chordata; Aves; Falconiformes; Falconidae. The record is from RefSeq and is a predicted model, not a curated record.